CGGACGGGUGAGUAAUGUCUGGGAAACUGCCCGAUGGAGGGGGAUAACUACUGGAAACGGUAGCUAAUACCGCAUAACGUCGCAAGACCAAAGAGGGGGACCUUCGGGCCUCGCGCCAUCAGAUGAACCCAUAUGGGAUUAGCUAGUAGGUGAGGUAACGGCUUACCUAGGCGACGAUCCCUAGCUGGUCUGAGAGGAUGACCAGCCACACUGGAACUGAGACACGGUCCAG
Molecule: ribosomal RNA, 232 nt
Filed under: uncultured bacterium
Lineage: Bacteria
Description: partial 16S ribosomal RNA
Rfam family: Bacterial small subunit ribosomal RNA
Source: RNAcentral